This 253-nucleotide ribosomal RNA is filed under the name uncultured bacterium. RNAcentral describes it as "partial 16S ribosomal RNA". It matches the Rfam family "Bacterial small subunit ribosomal RNA", at positions 524 to 776 of the family's 1533-position model. The record is from RNAcentral.
UACGUAGGGGGCAAGCGUUGUCCGGAAUCAUUGGGCGUAAAGAGCGUGUAGGCAGCCUGGUAAGUCCGCUGUGAAAGUCCAGGGCUCAACCCUGGAAUGCCGGUGGAAACUGUCAGGCUCGAGUCCGGAAGAGGCGAGUGGAAUUCCUGGUGUAGCGGUGAAAUGCGCAGAUAUCAGGAGGAACACCAAUGGCGAAGGCAGCUCGCUGGGACGGUACUGACGCUGAGACGCGAAAGCGUGGGGAGCAAACAGG